This is a non-coding RNA of Paramuricea clavata, 75 nucleotides long. NCBI's taxonomy places the organism in Eukaryota, Metazoa, Cnidaria, Anthozoa, Malacalcyonacea, Plexauridae. The record is from the annotation of a GenBank genome assembly.
GACCACGUAGCUCAGUUGGCAGAGCAUUGGGCUAGUAAUUUCCAAAGGUCGUGGGUUCGAUUCCCACCCUUGCCA